This 365-nucleotide unclassified non-coding RNA is filed under the name uncultured bacterium. Its description in RNAcentral is "contains 16S-23S intergenic spacer region". The record is from RNAcentral.
UCCCUGUUACCAGGGCAGUCUAGCUAGAAAAAUACAACUAACUAUAAGGGUUGCGCUCGUUGAAGGACUUAACCUAACAUCUCACGACACGAGCUGACGACGGCCAUGCAACACCUGUCACUUGGCUCUAAUAAAAGCACUCUCGCCUUUCGGCAAAAUUCCAAGGAUGUCAAUCCUGGGUAAGGUUCUUCGCUUAUCAUCGAAUUAAACAACACGCUCCACCGCUUGUGCGGGUCCCCGUCAAUUCCUUUAUGUUUUAAGCUUGCGCUCGUACUCCACAGGCGGGAUGCUUAACGCGUUAGCUUCGCUACUGAUCGGGUCGAUACGACCAACAGCUAGCAUCCAUAGUUUAGGGCGUGGACUAC